GUCCACGUAACUUUAGGACCGGCCGCCUGUGGCAGUCUCCCUUCCUAGCCAUGGAAGCGUAUAUGCUUGUUUAUUGGCAAAGCUGUCACCAAUAAACACAUUUAAUUGGUAUCAGAUUCUGACUGGCACAAGGAACAGUC
This 140-nucleotide small nucleolar RNA is filed under the name Echinops telfairi (small Madagascar hedgehog). RNAcentral's name for it is "Small nucleolar RNA SNORA24 (ENSETEG00000023517.1)". It matches the Rfam family "Small nucleolar RNA SNORA24". From Rfam's summary of the family: ACA24 is a member of the H/ACA class of snoRNA that guide the sites of modification of uridines to pseudouridines. The record is from RNAcentral. Lineage: Eukaryota; Metazoa; Chordata; Mammalia; Afrosoricida; Tenrecidae.